RNAcentral lists this transfer RNA (72 nucleotides) under Camelus bactrianus (Bactrian camel). It matches the Rfam family "tRNA". From Rfam's summary of the family: Transfer RNA (tRNA) molecules are approximately 80 nucleotides in length. Their secondary structure includes four short double-helical elements and three loops (D, anti-codon, and T loops). Further hydrogen bonds mediate the characteristic L-shaped molecular structure. tRNAs have two regions of fundamental functional importance: the anti-codon, which is responsible for specific mRNA codon recognition, and the 3' end, to which the tRNAs corresponding amino acid is attached (by aminoacyl-tRNA synthetases). tRNAs cope with the degeneracy of the genetic code in two manners: having more than one tRNA (with a specific anti-codon) for a particular amino acid; and 'wobble' base-pairing, i.e. permitting non-standard base-pairing at the 3rd anti-codon position. RNAcentral also lists the same sequence under 2 other names. Lineage: Eukaryota; Metazoa; Chordata; Mammalia; Artiodactyla; Camelidae. The record is from Rfam by way of RNAcentral.
GAGGGUAUAGCUUAGUGGUAGAGUGCGUGCCUAGCAUGUACAAGGUCCUGGGUUCAACCCCCAGCACCUCCA